UACGAGAGGGGCAAGUGUUGUUCGUAAUGACUGGGCGUAAAGGGUAUGUAGGUUGUUAAUUCAUGCACAUGAGUUAAAAUGCUGUAUAUUAUGUAUAUAGAAAUAUUGAUUGUUAGUUUUAACUAGAAUUUGUCUCGGGAUCAAAGAAUUUUUUUUGUAGGGCUAAAAUCCGUAUUUGAAAAAAAAGAGAAUGCCAUAGGCGAAGGCAUUGAUCUGGAGAAGAUUGACACUGAGGUACGAAAGCGUGGGGAUCGAAUAGG
RNAcentral lists this ribosomal RNA (260 nucleotides) under uncultured bacterium. RNAcentral describes it as "partial 16S ribosomal RNA". It matches the Rfam family "Bacterial small subunit ribosomal RNA", at positions 524 to 776 of the family's 1533-position model. The record is from RNAcentral.